Long non-coding RNA from Macaca mulatta (Rhesus monkey), 4568 nucleotides. RefSeq lists it as uncharacterized. The record is from RefSeq and is a predicted model, not a curated record. NCBI's taxonomy places the organism in Eukaryota, Metazoa, Chordata, Mammalia, Primates, Cercopithecidae.
CAACCCUAAAAAGGAGAAGAUUUCGGGGAAGAAAGAAGCCCUUUCUCCGCGGCCACUCGGACGCCGGGACACUCGGCCCUCGCUGUAGGAGCUCCUGAACGACUCCUGGACGGGGGUCACCAUCUCCCUCUCCUAGGAGUGGGGACCUCCCCCGGGGGAAGGGGACUCAUCCAGGAGAGCAGGGCCCAGCCAGGUGCUGGGUUCUGUGCUGACAUCUCCAGCUGCUGGGCCCUCCCGAACUGACGGUGAACUGCCAGAGCCAGGGAGCCACAGAGGCCAACCCCAGCUCCCUGGCCUGAGAGCAAGUGCUGCUCUAAAAACUUCCCCUGUACCAGCUCACACUCGAGGCAGUCCUUUGAGGUGAGUACGAUUAUCAUUAUCCCCAUUGUUUAGAUGAAGAAACCCAAGUAAGGAGGGCGUAAGUGACUUGCCCAAGGUCACACAGCUAGCAAGUGGUAGAGCUGGGAUCUGAACGCAGGUGGCUGCCUCCAGGACCUAUGCUCUUAACCGCUCUGUCACUUACUCCUAUGCUAAGUGGUCCAAAGGAAGAGUCAACCUGGGUGAGGCAGGGGAGAAAGGUAGGCAGGGCCUGGAGCCCAGCAGGAGUCCUUAGCUAGACCUGGGGCUCUGCCAGCUGUGCUGGGCCAGGAGCAACCCUACUUCCAGAUGAGCCAGGGACUGCCCCCAUGCCUUUCCGGUCCGUCUCGUGGGACCCAGGGCUGCCCCGUGCCUCUCCGGAAGGAAGGGUCUGCCUCGUGGGACCCAGGGCUGCCCCCUGUGCCUCUCCGUCUGCAUCGUGGGACCCAGGGCUGUCCUCCCUCCGGAUCCCCCCCUGCUUCUCUUGCUCAACAGGCCAGAUGCUCUGCGAUGCUUCCCUGGGGUAACAGCAGGAGCUGCCAUCAGGGCUGGUGUCCAGGCAGGCCCAGGGUCAGCAAACACAUCAGAGGGGCUCUGGUUCUCCUUCAGUCUCAGAAAAUGUUUCUGGGCUGAGACCCACCCAACCUAAGCAGCGCCUCUCACCCCUCUCCAUACCAUCAUUCCCACCCUCCAGGCAGGAGCUGUGGCCGCGCCUGCUUUGGAAACAGGCAAACAAACACUGUGAUGCCAACAGGCAGCUGUGCAGCGGGGCCAGCCCCUCACCACACACGCGCACACGGCCCAGCCAGGGGCCCAGAUGUGGGAACAGACUGUGCCCAGUUCCCAGGGUGGAAGUCGAAUGAAUUUUCCCUUCUCACUCCUCCCCACAAGGCUUGCCAAACGCCUUCGGAAUUGGUCAGGGCUCUAGUCCUGGCCAAACCAGAGGAAAAAUGUUUCAUGAUGGGAAAAACAAGACACCAGCCCCGGGCGCGUCCAGGUCUCCGCUGGCUCUCCCGAGCCUGGCCCGGCUGAGCUGCAGCAGGGGGCCUGGCCCUGAGUUGGGGCUGAGCUCAGGGAGGAACUGUUCUGCAGAGCAGUCUGAGGGGCUCACUGGUCCUGGCGUGCAGGUGGGUUAAAGGGACGCCCAGGGACCACCUCCCCACACAAGCCUGAGGACCUCUUCAGGGCCACUUUCAGUUCUAAACUUUGCUAUGGGUACAACCAACUUUAGCCACUCUUGGUUGGACCUGUCUAGAAAGGGUGGUGGGAGGGCAAGAAAGGUCUGAAUUUAGGAUCUGGAAGUUGAGGGCUCUAAGGACAGAUCUGCUACUAACCCAAGCAAGUCUCCGCCUGGUGUGGGGACUCAGUUUCCCUAUGUCAAGUGAGGUGUGGGCCAAGACCAGUGCGUUUCACCUGUUUUGACUGUGGCCCACAAUACAGCCCGUUGUAACAGUCCACACGCCUCCAGGUAACUGAACAGCAGCACCUGCACUCAAGGCUUGCAGUGUAUCCUACUGCUGUCCGUUCCCCACUUCAUUCAGAAAAGGCUACACUGGUUAAAUGAACCACCAGUAGGUCAGGACUCACUGAUUAUAAAACCUGCCUACAGUCCUAAUACUAUCUGUUCUCCAUUCACUUACAGAAGGCUGAAUGGACUCAGUGAACCACUGGUAGGUCAAGGACCCACUGAUUAUAAAACCUGCCUGCAGUCCUGAGCAUUCUGUGGUCAAUAUUUGAGGUUACUACUCGUUACGGGACCCAAAUAUUUCUCAACACAGAAAAACGCACCCAGGAACUAGCAAGAAAGCCAGCCACGCAGACUCUGGUUAGAUCUGAGUUUAAGUCCAGAACCAAAACCCACAAGCUGGGUCAUCCUGGGCAAGCAAGUCGGCCCUUCUGAGUUUCUGCAGUUCCUUCCCUGCAGCAACGGACAAGAGAUUCGCAGGGAGCGGAUUACGUGAGAAAACGCAGAAAAAGCACCUGCCACAGGGACUCUGAAGCAGACCAAGGCUCCUCUCCAGGAAGGCUCCUGGUUCUCCCGAGCUCUCCCGUCCAUCCCACCAGCCUGCACCCACCCCGGCUGGGCCUUCCAGACUCACUGGCAUCGAAGACGGCCUUGAGCGCCUGGAUGUCCGUGGCCACGCCUGAUAUCCGGUAGAUGCCAACCUCCUCGAUGCCCCUCUUCUCCACCUCCUCCACGCACUGCCGGACGAUGUAGGGCACCUUGGAGCGUUCCCGCCUGGGGUGGGGCGUGAGGAUGGGUGGAGGGCGGCCCCCAUGACAACUCUCCCGUAGCAACCCCCACCCAGCACACCCGCCCCCGGAGAGCUUCUAGCAUUUGGAAUGGAGAGACGGGGCAGGGGGGCGGGGAGGGCAAGAAAAGGGCAGAGAAAGAGGCCACCGCACCCCACCCUAGCCUGCCCACCCGCGGCCUGCCUGCGGAGGGGCCGCGAAUGAAGUGGGCAGGAGAAGGUUUGGGAACUUGAGACGGUCAGGCCGAGACUCUAGGGAAAGAACGCCCCCCAGAUUCAGACGCUUGUAGGAGGCCCGGAAGGCAGCCCACACGAGGAGGUGGGUCAGGCCUGAGACAAGGGGCUGGGGUGGCGAUGAACUGGGGGAUGCAUGCCCUUUCCCGAGGGGCAGCCAGUCCCUGUUGGUGCCGAGCCCAAACGUGGGCCCCCGGCUGACAGAGCUUCCCGCUCAUUACGAGGAACAGACGAUCUGGGGUCUCACAAGACACCUUCCAGCAUUUCAGUGCCGGCUCACGUGCUUCUAAAGCGACUGAUUAGGUGCCAGGAUGGGCCUAGGCGGGGAGGGCCAGGGGCCCAGGUUGGUGGGGACCAGGGGCACCGACGCCAGGACUGGGAGACCGGAGGCAGCACCUACUUGGUCACCACGCUGAUCUUCACACCGAAGACACCGGUCUGCUUUUUGGACGGGGUCCUCUUCAGGCUCAUAUCUCGGCUGGUGAAUUUCAUGGAAAAUUCCACUUUGAUCUGGUUGGGGGGUGAGGCAGGUACAAGUUCCCCAGGGCGUGAGUGCCCAAGGAAUGCCCCCAAAACACAGGGGUCCCCUCCCCAAGACUGCAAACGAGGGCUGGCUCACACCCAGGGCUCCCUCAACACCUGCAGGACGGCACGGGCAGGGUGUGGGCAGGAGGGGAGGGGGGCUGGGCUGCAGGGAGGUCCAGGCGGCACAGCAGCCCCAGGAGCGGCCAGAGGGCCGGGCUGCCCACCCGCUGCACAGAUGUUCCACCUCCCGGCUCACCCGGUUGAUCGUUCCCAUCCCCGGCUCACCCCGUUCAUCUCAAUCACGUCUGUGUGCCAGUUCUUGGUCUCCACAGUUUGUGGGUCCAGCUGCAGAGAGAGAAUGUGGGUGAGGGAGGUGCCCACUCGGAGGCCAAGCCAGAGCUCUCCCCGUGGGUCAGCACUGCUAAGAGCCAGCGACACAGUCAGGAAGGCGAUGUGAGCAGCUGGGAUAAGCUGAUGUUUACCUGGAAAUCAACCCUUCGGGGGGCCCUAGCCCCCAGGCCCCUGUGGCCGCCAUGAGGGAGGCGGGGCACACCCUGUUAGGCACUCCUGCCCGUGACACCUUAUUCACUCGUGACUGCCAGCCCGGGAUAUGCGUAUUAUUACCCCAUUUCACAAAUGCAGAAACUGAGGUGCACAAAAGGUAAGCACCUGAUUAGGAGGUGCUGGAGCCCAUCAGGAGGGAACCGGCCUAUCCGAGUCAGGAGCCCAUGCUCAGGAGGCCGCCUGGGUUUGAAUCCCAGCAAGUUUUAAACUCACUAAGCCUCAGUUUUUCCAUCUGCACACGGGAGCCAGCAACAGAACCUGCCUCCCUGGGAUUGCUGUGAAGAUUCAGGGAGGCAACUUGGGUCGAGCCGUCAGCUCCCAAAUAAGCAAAUCCUCCACAGGGGAAGUCCCCAGGCUUGGGCUGGAGCCCAGGGAGGUGCAGACCCUCCCUGGGUCAGGGGAGGUCAGAGGCACCCCUCACACAGGACUGUUUCACGUUCUGUUUCUGUAACUCGGGGUCUGCCUUCAAGCCUGUCUGCCUGUGCACCUGUGAACUAAUUCUGAGCAAAUAUGCACCCUGGCACAUUCUAAAGUCAACAUCUGAACAUUUCCAAGUUUAAAUAGUUGCAAAGAGUAUGAUUUCCAGAAUCAUGUCAAUAUUGCCAUCCUAAAAUAAAAGUGUUACAUCGUUCCUUC